GUGGCAGCGGGAGGGGCACAGGAAGGGAAAGGGCAUUGGUUUCGUGAAGGCCCGGGAGCUGCUGAAGCGACCUGUUGCACUCGGUGAGCUUCUCCCCUGUGGGAAACGGGCUUGAAGGAAAACAAACUCUGCUAAAACGGUGGAUCUGCCGGGAGGAGGGUUGAGACCGCUCCAUGCCAGAAGCCGGCUCCCCCGCAGCACGGCAAAAAGGCGAGACACAGACUCCCAAAUCAACCGAGGAAAAAUCUCUGCGCUAACAUCCGACAGGCAGCAGCCCUCCCUUUUCGGGCACCGGCCUCUCAAAACUAAUUGAACCGUGUUGAACCGUAAAGUGCGAGGCGAGGAAGGGGGAGUGGUGUCUAUUUUCUUUAUCUUUUUUUUGGUCUUUGUUUUGGGGUGGGAUGUGUUUGGUUUUUUAUGUCCUGCUGGGUUUUUUUUUCCCUUUUCCUUCUGCUCCCUCCUCUGCGCCAAGGUGCGCCCAGGAAGACGCCUAGUCCCUAGGGCUGAGGCGACCCUCACCCCGGGGGCAACCCCUGCCCCGCUUCCCCACGUCCCUAUAAAGUCGAGGCACACCCAUACCAACCUUAACCUCUCCUUUCUCCCUCCGAAAACACCGACGCCAGGAGUUCAGCCUGGGCAGGGGACAGGAGAGCCUUUCUCCCGACGGGGAACAAGCCCACCCCACCUCCAGCCGCAGCAUUCGCGGAGCUCCCGCCCCGCCAGAGCGCGGAGCUGCGCUUCUGCCGGCCCUGGCGCUGUCUGGGUUGCAAGUGGACCCACGGUCACAGGCCAGCCAGUGCCAAAAAAUGAAUUAAAAAAAAAGAAAAUAAAAAAAAAGGUGGCAGCGAGCCGGUGGAAAUCAGCCGUGCCGAGCUUCUCUCCAGCCGGGCGACACUGAAGCAGGGAGAAAGAUAAAGGAACAGUGCGAGGAAUAACCAACCCUUAACUCCCCGCAGAGCAUCGGGAGCCGGGUUUAUCCCACCGCUCUUGCGGGUUCUCCCUGGGGGCAGGCAGCACAGGCAGGAGGGAAAAGGAAAGAUCUGGCUCGCAGCUGGGGACCAGGCAGAUGCGCGUACUCCCGGCUCAGGGGUGCAAAGACUCGUCGGUAAGUCAGACCAGCUGGGGAAACUUGGCACUGCGCAGAGGAAAGCCCCCCCGAGAGCAUCUCUUCCCCCCCUUCCUGGCUGGGAAGAGAUGCGUGGCGAGGUUUAGCUGAAAGCGUGCUGCCGGUGGAGGGGAAAGGGAGCAGGGAGGGUUUUGUCCCGUCUGUUACCCGUGCUGUGACACACGGGCAGGGACCCAGCGCUUCCAUCAGAAAUAAAUCAGAGGGGUUGGAGCUCCGCGGUGACUCUUGCCGAUGCACCUGCCAAAAUUACUGCCGAGCUGGAAACCAGUCGGUGUGACAAAGACGCGAGAGAAAAUAAAAACAUCUGUAUAUGUCUUUGCUUUAAAA
This is a long non-coding RNA of Columba livia (rock pigeon), 1453 nucleotides long. RefSeq lists it as uncharacterized. NCBI's taxonomy places the organism in Eukaryota, Metazoa, Chordata, Aves, Columbiformes, Columbidae. The transcript is spliced from 2 exons. The record is from RefSeq and is a predicted model, not a curated record.